AUUGAACGCUGGCGGCAGGCCUAACACAUGCAAGUCGAACGGUAGCACAGAGAGCUUGCUCUCGGGUGACGAGUGGCGGACGGGUGAGUAAUGUCUGGGAAACUGCCCGAUGGAGGGGGGUAACUACUGGAAACGGUAGCUAAUACCGCAUAACGUCGCAAGACCAAAGUGGGGGACCUUCGGGCCUCACACCAUCGGAUGUGCCCAGAUGGGAUUAGCUAGUAGGUGGGAUAAUGGCUCACCUAGGCGACGAUACCUAGCUGGUCUGAGAGGGUGACCAGCCACACUGGAAGCGGGCCACGGUCCAGACUCCUACGGGAGGCAGCAGUGGGGAAUAUUGCACAAUGGGCGCAAGCCUGAUGCAGCCAUGCCGCGUGUAUGAAGAAGGCCUUCGGGUUGUAAAGUACUUUCAGCGGGGAGGAAGGCGGUGAAGUUAAUAGCUUCACCGAUUGACGUUACCCGCAGAAGAAGCACCGGCUAACUCCGUGCCAGCCGCCGCAGUAA
Molecule: ribosomal RNA, 504 nt
Filed under: uncultured bacterium
Lineage: Bacteria
Description: partial 16S ribosomal RNA
Rfam family: Bacterial small subunit ribosomal RNA
Source: RNAcentral